AGUCUCUGUCAUGUCUCAUGCAAAUGAGAAUUAGCAGUUCUGUUUGCAAUUAACAGAGUCAGUAAGUAGCUGAGAGCGCUGCUGUCCUCGGAAGAAAGCUCUUCGUUCGAGUGGCCGUGAGGCUAAGCCACGCCUCCCAGAGCCCAACCAGGGAGGCGGCAGGGUUAAUUACGUACUAUAAACCACCUAGUGGUUUCAAUCCAAUUUAAAACGGUCUGGAUGUUUAUAAAGCCUUAUUUUUAAUUUGGCUUUGACAAAGUGCUAUCUCAAUUUUAACAAUCCCCCUGAGCUCUGUGACUCAUAUCAUCAGAGAUCUGACCUUUCAGCAGAAGUGGGAAAGGAUCUUAAGUUGUUACCUUGACAACACAAGGUGGAUUGACUCAAGGGUUGGACUCAGUUGGAAAAACACUUGACUUUUCCCCAUAAAUUCAAAUACCUCACAGAACACUUGUGGACAGCAUCCCAUGGGCACAGCUGUUCUGGUACAAAACUGUGAUAAGGCGUUCCUGGUGAUCCAGGAAGCUUUGUGUUGAGUCAAGCAACUCUCUUUGAGAAGGAAUAGUAUCGCGCUUUGCCUGACAGCAAGGAUCAACAGAAUGUAUCGUAAUCUUAAAAGACAGCUGCGAGUAUCAAUCAUCUUGGAUAAAGUCCUUUGAUUCACAUCUCAUGGAAGAUUCCUUCACAAAUUAUCGAUACACACCAGGGGAAUCAACCUGCGUUUUGUACUAAGGAUUCAGCAGACAGCAAAGUACACAGGAGCUUCUUCUUCCUGAGGGAAAGCAGAGGAUGAUGGAAAGCCCACAGGAUCUGGACUAAGAACAAAGUUGUUUGAAUACCAAAUCUGAAAGUAUGGGGGUGGUGUCUGGCACCAGGCAGGCAUGUUAUAACUGAUAGUUCAUUUCUUCCACCGCAUCUAACCCCUUGGCUCCUCUCUGAAUGUGAACAGAUUCCAGGCUGAACUUGUGGAAAUCAAAUUAAAAGAAGCUAAUAUGUUUUUAACCCUUUGGUUGCUGGUAGCUAUGUAAAGAGAUUCUGUUUUCCUUUUCUCAUUGAAUGAAAAUUUAUAGCCUAAUUUGUGACACACUCUUAGCA
RNAcentral lists this long non-coding RNA (1092 nucleotides) under Bos indicus x Bos taurus (hybrid cattle). RNAcentral's name for it is "lncRNA (ENSBIXG00000022340.1)". The record is from RNAcentral. Lineage: Eukaryota; Metazoa; Chordata; Mammalia; Artiodactyla; Bovidae.